UUUUAGUGCAAUCAUGAGUUUACGUGCCCAACUUUGAUCGUUCGUUUUAUUUAAAUUUUUUUAUAAUUAGUAUUUUUGUUGUUAUGAGAUGAUAAAACAUGAAUAUUACUUUAUGCAUGACUUGUGUUUUAAAAUUUUUUAAUUUUUUUUCAAAUAAGACAGACGAUAAAAAAUGGGCACGGAAAAUAAUGGCUGCACUAAAG
Molecule: microRNA precursor, 203 nt
Organism: Oryza rufipogon (brownbeard rice)
Lineage: Eukaryota; Viridiplantae; Streptophyta; Magnoliopsida; Poales; Poaceae
Rfam family: MIR812 microRNA precursor family
Source: Rfam